Molecule: long non-coding RNA, 783 nt
Filed under: Androctonus crassicauda
Lineage: Eukaryota; Metazoa; Arthropoda; Arachnida; Scorpiones; Buthidae
Source: RNAcentral
UUUCUAAAUACACUUUGCAGCAACUUCAUAAUAAAGUUACAUACGGUACAUGCAUUGAUUGACAUUCUAAAUUGCAGCAUUCCAGGUUGAGAUUAGUUGUUGGCUGGUAUGGUUAUCGUACUAUAUCUGGUCUUCAGCUGGAUGUGGCGACCAAGAGGUGAAUAUCACAUAAGUACUGGUAUCAAAAUUCAACCAGUACCUGAUGUAAUACUCCCACCAAAGCCGUCAUGGCAUGCAACAUGCAAUAUACAACUUUUUGAACAAGGCUUAAAACUCAAACUCCAUGCAUGCACACAGACAUUUAACAACUAUUGCUUGAGUCCAAAUUUAUAUCAAAAUAUUUACCUAAUUAAAUGCUAAGCAAUUUAUUUGAUAGCAAUUGAAAUAAAAGAUCAUUAAAAUAUUUUAAAAUCAAAAUCAACAAUACUGCUUCUUUUUGAAAUUAUAAAUUCAAGCCACCAGGAAGAAGUGCUGGCAUGCAACUCACCACAGUACAGAAGGAGCUCGUCUGAUCUCAUGAGGUACUCUGAAUACCAAUGAUAUCCCAGAGUUACUGGAUGAGAUUGGACCAGCAACCAUCUUAAUUCAUGCAAUCAGUGCAAUACAUUUUCAUGCAAUUUUAUUCUUCUUGUGCCUUUUUCAAGCUAGAGAAAUGUGCCAUUAUGAAGAUAUUAAAAAUAAAUUGUGCAAUUUAACGAAUUUUACAGAGUGCAUUCUUUAGUAAAAGCUCUUAUGCAAUAAAAAAAUCCCAAGUGAGAAAAACUUUUUAUUUAUACCUUCUUG